This 358-nucleotide long non-coding RNA is filed under the name Manihot esculenta (cassava). Its description in RNAcentral is "long non-coding RNA (MESC_LNC001540)". Lineage: Eukaryota; Viridiplantae; Streptophyta; Magnoliopsida; Malpighiales; Euphorbiaceae. The record is from RNAcentral.
GAUUUGCUCUAGGUUUGGGAUUGUUUGGCCAUUUCUCUUUUCUUUCUUUUAUUUAGAAGAGCUUCACUUCAGCUUCUUAUCACUUCAAAUUGCUCUUGGUUAAAUGUUGAAAUGCAAGGUCUAUGAAUUAGAAAAGGGAAGAACAAAUGAAUUAGAAAAGGGAAGAACAAAAUGAAAAGGAUGGGAGGGUUUUUUUUUUUUUAACCUCUUUUUCUUUUUUUUUUUAAAUUUGUACAUGAGGUUUUUUUUUCCUUAUUCUUUUUUUUUUAAUUAUUUUUUAUGUUUAUAAAAGGGAAAUUUUUAUCAUUACUUUAUUUCUUAAAAAGUAAAAUUAACUUUAUUUAUAUUACCAUGGAUG